AAACCACUGCUUUUGGUGGAUACCUAAGGACUCAAAGAUGAUGAAGGGCGUGUUAACCUGCGAAAAUUUUUGGUUAGUUGGAAAAAAACUUUAAUCCAAAAGUUCCCCAAUGGAGCAAUCCUAAAAACUACCGAAAAAAUUCAUAAAUCGGUAAGAAAAAACUUAGUGAACUGAAACAUCUUAUUAACUAAAGGAAAAGAAAGCAAACGCAAUUUCCGAAGUAGCGGCGAGCGAAAUGGAAAAAGUCUAAACUGAUCAAAUCAGGGUAGUGGGACUUUAAUGAAGAUAACAAAUAAAAAAUAAAAAACAGCUGAAACCUGUACCAAAGAUGGUGAAAGUCCAGUUUUAUUUUUUUUUACCUAUCUGAAGUAUCCCAAGUAGCUUGGGGCACGUGGAAUCCCUUGUGAAUCAGCGAGGACCACCUCGUAAGACUAAAUACUCUUGAGUCACUGAUAGCGAAAAGUACCGUGAGGGAAAGGUGAAAGAGACCCCCUGUCGGGGAGUGAAAUAGAUCAUGAAACCUGAAGCAAUCAAUCUGUGGGAGGAAAUAUCUGACCACAUGCCUGUUGAAGAAUGAGCCGGCGACUCAUGAUUUUUGGCUUGGUUAAAGAAAAUUUCUGUAGCCUGAGUGAAAACAAGUCUGAAAAAGGCGAAAAGUCAAAAAUUAUGGACCCGAACCCGAGUGAUCUAACCAUGACCAGGAAGAAUCUUGGGUAAAACUAAGUGGAUGUCCGAACCGACCGAUGUUGAAAAAUCGACGGAUGAGUUGUGGUUAGGGGUGAAAUGCUAAUCGAACUCGGAGCUAGCUGGUUCUCCCCGAAAUGCGUUGUGGCGCAGCAUUUAUAGAUGUCCUAUACCUGAAUAGGUAGAGCACUGUUUCGAUGCGGGCCAGUCAAAAGGUACCAAAUUGUGGCAAACUCCAAAUUAUUCAGAUUUAUACCUAUAAAAAGUGAGACUUUGGGGGAUAAGCUCCAGGGUCAAGAGGGAAACAGCCCAGACCAUCAGUUAAGGCCCCUAAAUAAUAGCUAAGUGUUAAAGGAAGUUUCCAUGCUGAAACAACCAGAAGGUUCGCUUAGAAGCAGCUAUCCUUGAAAGAAUGCGUAAUAGCUCACUGGUUAUUUCUUUUUAGGAAAAAAGCGUGGAUGCGCCGAAAAUGUCCGGGACUAAGUUAUUUGCCGAAACUAUGGCCUCCGCGCAACGCGCGGAGAGGUAGGGGAGCGUUCUGUUAUGAGGUGAAGGAUUUUUGAAAAAAAAUGAUAGAUCGAACAGAAGUGAGAAUGUCGGCUUGAGUAACGAAAACAUUAGUGAGAAUCUAAUGCCCCGAAAGCCUAAGGUUUCCUCUUCAAGGCUCGUCCAGAGAGGGUUAGUCAGGACCUAAGAUUAGGCUGAAAAGCGUCAUCGAUGGAGAACAGGUCAAUAUUCCUGUACUUAUUUUUAUUUUGAGACAAGGGACGAAGGCAACAAGUUCAGGCUCUUCAAAUGGUUCAGAGUGGAAAUGUUUAACAUAUGGUUCGAAAAAAAAAUCGAACUUGGGCAGAAAAGGUGGAUGAGCCCCCGGGCAAAACCGCCGCCUGCGUCAGUAUGAAGACAUGAUACGUUAUUUGAUAAAUUUAUUUAUUAAAUAAUUUGAAUUUUGUUAUACUUCCUAGAAAAGCUUGAGACUCUUAUAAUAAAAAUAACCUGUACCGUAAACCGACACAGGUGGGUAAGUUGAGAAAACUCAGGGGCGCGAGAUAACUCUCUCUAAGGAACUCGGCAAAAUAGCCCCGUAACUUCGGGAGAAGGGGUGUAUUUUUCUUUUCUUGAAAGAAAAAUUCCGCAGUGAACAAAUUCAUUGAACUUUUUAACAAAAAAAUAGGUCUCCGCAAAGUCGCAAGACAACGUAUGGGGGCUGACGCCUGCCCAGUGCCGGAAGGUUAAAGGAAUUGGUGAAAGCUGAUAACUGAAGCCCCGGUGAACGGCGGCCGUAACUCUACGAAACAUUAUACAAGCGAAAUUCCUUGUCAAGUAAGUUUUGACCCGCACGAAAGGCGCAAUCAAAUGAAUACUGUCUCAGAGAGAGACUCGGUGAAAUAGACAUAUCCGUGAAGAUGCGGAUUUCCUUACAUCAGUACAAGAAGACCCCGUGAAGCUUGACUGUAUCUUGAUAUUGGUUUCCAGUUAUUUUUGUGCAGUCUAGGUGGGAGAAUGAAAUUUCAUCAUUGAGAGACCACCCUGAAAUAACUAGAAAUCUUAAAGUGAUUCCUUGAAGCAGGACACUUGACAGUGUCUGGAGGGCAGUUUUUUUGGGGCGAAAACCUCAAAAACCUGUAUUAGGGAUAUCGGGAAAAAGCUUUGAAAUAACUAAAGAAUUAAUUGGUAAGUUCAUUCAUCCGUGUAUACAAUUAAAAUUUCCAACGAAUCGAAUUCGUCGAAGUUGAUGACAUAGUCUGAACUUUAUGGAAACAUAAAGAGGUUAAAGAUAAAGUGCUUUAACGAUAACAAAUUGAACAGGCUUAUCUUCCCCAAGAGUUCACAUCGACGGGAAGGUUUGGCACCUCGAUGUUGACUUUUCGCAACCUGGGGCGGUAGUAUGUCCCAAGGGUUGGGCUGUUCGCCCAUUAAAGCGGUACAUGAGUUGAGUUCAGAACGUCGUGA
RNAcentral lists this ribosomal RNA (2637 nucleotides) under Caulerpa okamurae. RNAcentral describes it as "23S ribosomal RNA". It matches the Rfam family "Bacterial large subunit ribosomal RNA", at positions 1 to 2624 of the family's 2925-position model. Lineage: Eukaryota; Viridiplantae; Chlorophyta; Ulvophyceae; Bryopsidales; Caulerpaceae. The record is from RNAcentral.